CCUACGGGAGGCAGCAGUGAGGAAUAUUGGUCAAUGGCCGGAAGUCUGAACCAGCCAAGCCGCGUGAAGGACGAAGGUGCCAAGCAUUGUAAACUUCUUUUGUCAAGGGACAAAAUCAGGCUCGAGCGCCUGACCGAGGGUACUUUAAGAAAAAGCAUCGGCUAACUCCGUGCCAGCAGCCGCGGUAAUACGGAGGAUGCGAGCGUUAUCCGGAUUUAUGGGGUUUAAAGGGGGCGUGGGCGGGCUGUUAAGUCGGCGGUAAAAGCCCGGGGCCCAACCCCGGAGAGCCGUUGAAACUGGCGGGCUUGAGAGGACGAGAGGUAAGCGGAAUGCGCAGUGUAGCGGUGAAAUGCGUAGAUAUUGCGAAGAACUCCGAUUGCGAAGGCAGGAUACCGGAGGGGAUCUGACGCUGAGGCACGAAAGCGUGGGUAUCGAACAGGAUUAGAUACCCCUGUAGUC
This 459-nucleotide ribosomal RNA is filed under the name uncultured bacterium. Its description in RNAcentral is "partial 16S ribosomal RNA". It matches the Rfam family "Bacterial small subunit ribosomal RNA", at positions 338 to 795 of the family's 1533-position model. The record is from RNAcentral.